This 460-nucleotide ribosomal RNA is filed under the name uncultured bacterium. RNAcentral describes it as "partial 16S ribosomal RNA". It matches the Rfam family "Bacterial small subunit ribosomal RNA", at positions 338 to 795 of the family's 1533-position model. The record is from RNAcentral.
CCUACGGGUGGCAGCAGUGAGGAAUAUUGGUCAAUGGACGAGAGUCUGAACCAGCUAAGUAGCGUGAAGGAUGACUGCCCUAUGGGUUGUAAACUUCUUUUAUAUGGGAAUAAAACGUUCCACGUGUGGGAUUUUGUAUGUACCAUAUGAAUAAGGAUCGGCUAACUCCGUGCCAGCAGCCGCGGUAAUACGGAGGAUCCGAGCGUUAUCCGGAUUUAUUGGGUUUAAAGGGAGCGUAGGUGGAUUGUUAAGUCAGUUGUGAAAGUGUGCGGCUCAACCGUAAAAUUGCAGUUGAAACUGGCAGUCUUGAGUACAGUAGAGGUGGGCGGAAUUCGUGGUGUAGCGGUGAAAUGCUUAGAUAUCACGAAGAACUCCGAUUGCGAAGGCAGUUCACUGGACUGCAACUGACACUGAGGCUCGAAAGUGUGGGUAUCAAACAGGAUUAGAUACCCUUGUAGUC